AAGCGCGCGGCCCCGAGGUCGCGAGGGAGCCGGUCCGCUCGCGCCGCCCGCGGGGCGCUGCCUCAGCCCGUAAAUCCUGAGGGGAGCCGGGGGACGAGCGGCCGCGGAAGGGAAAGGCUCCUCUGCGGGACGCCAAAUGCCCGGAGUGGGCGGCUGUCGAAGCUGAGGCACCGGGAGGGAUCUAGGGCUCCACGUGGAGCACUUAAUUUCCAAACCGAUAGAGCUCAUCCAAAUGUUCUUCCAUAGAGUGGAUCUACAUCCUGCCACAGAAGAAAUGCAUACUUGAGAUUUCUCAAUUUGGUAUUGGAGCCAGCUCAUAUGUAUGAGGUGCAAUAUGGCUAUGGAUGCUGAGGAACUGGCUUCACGAAGAAGAGAUAGCAAGUGCUAUCCAAGGCAGCAGGACAGGUGGUGUGAAAGACCUGUGGAAAACUUUUUGCCCACAGUGUGAAAACUGAACAAAUGUGUGGCAUGAAAAAUUUUAAGAUUAAUAUGCUGACUUUGCAUGAAGACUGAAUAUUCUUAGUACUGCAUUCUUGAAAAUACCUCCCAUGUGUCUGUCCUCAGUCAGCGGAGGUGUACUUUGAAGACUUGGCCCCCGACCAUGGAAAGAAGACUGCUUGGAUAGCACUAGCUGGAAUCACUCUGAAGGACUAUCAGUCUACGGAAUGGUUCUCUCACCACUGUCUGAGGCAGUCAACAGAACUGAAUUACUGGGUAUAUAUUUUUCCUACAAUGAGCUUUCUUCUUGUAAGUAACCUACUUCUUCAGAGUUUUCUGGUUUGCUUUUUUUUCCCUGAGAGGAGGAGGAAUGGGGUAGAUGAAAAAGGUAGAAAGCUAAAUCUGAAAGAAAAUAUUUGGAUUUCUUAUUGAUGCUUAUACUUCAGGAGGAAAUGGACAUCACUGCAAGUUAACAAAAUGGAAAUGUAUGUAUAUUAAAAGGAUUUUUUUGUUCUCGCCAGGAAUAGAAUGCCUUGACUAAUCAUAAUUGGUUUCAUGUCUUGGAAUUAGGGUCAGUGGCCAGGAAGAGUUCUUAUAAGAGAUUUGUAAGAAAUUCAGUAUUUCUUCUAAGUGUCUAAAGAAGGAGAUCAUGUAUUACACUUUCUUUAAAUAAGCUCUGUUCAUGAUUUACUUUGUGGGAUGAAAGAUUGUCAGUUUGUGCCUUAAAUCCAUGCUUUUUGAAGAUGUUUUUGAACCUUUGUUAGUUAUAGUUUAUGUAGCAGUGCUGAAUUCUCUGCUGCACCGCAAAUUCAAGUUGCUGUCUGAAAAUUAAGCUUUGAAUUCUGGAUGAAUAUCUGUGAAAGUAGGCCCCAUAUGACCUGAGAUUCUUUCAAAAGAAUCUCAUUUGCCUAGAAUUGCAUGCAAGAAUAUAGUUUUGCUUUAGAGACUAUGCUGUGUUGCUGUCAUUUACCCAUUGCAGGAGAUGUUCUUGAAUGUACUGCUGAAAAAAAAACUGUUAUAAAUAAUCCUGUGUUUAGUAGCCCUCUAAACCAGAGAGGGAUUACAGUUAGUCAGGUGAACUGGAUGCUGUAUUAGCAAGGAUACAAUGACCCAAAUUACAUUUUCUAUUGAAAUAAUGUUAAAGAUUACUAUGUUUUCACCUACAGCAAACUUCAGACUCAUUGAAUUUGUAUGUACCAAUUCCAGUAGUACAAAACCACAAUUUGCAGCAUGGCUGGGAAUUCUGCUGACUUUUCCUCUGAGCACCUGUUCUGCUUUUUGGUAAUCCUGCUAUUGAUUACUUCAGUUUCUUUUGGUUGUGAAUGUUUAAACUACUUUUGUGUACUUGUUAUGUUUAUUUUGAUAUUAAACACAUCCUUUUUGCAGCUACUUUUUAGCAAGCUUUCAGCAGACAAACAUCAAGUGGAACUAGUCCUCAUAACAUCCAUGUAGCAAACAUCCCAACAUACCUUGGUGUCUGGCAAGGUUCAUGCACGCCACAGCACAGGCACAGAAUUCAUUGAGCCCACUCAUACUGAUCUCUGUGAUGCUGUACCUCAUGUGGGGCACUACAGUUCCUUACCAUUUAACAGUUAAUGUUU
Molecule: long non-coding RNA, 2039 nt
Organism: Parus major (Great Tit)
Lineage: Eukaryota; Metazoa; Chordata; Aves; Passeriformes; Paridae
Exons: 4
Source: RefSeq, a predicted model, not a curated record